This 85-nucleotide transfer RNA is filed under the name Felis catus (domestic cat). It matches the Rfam family "tRNA". Rfam says of the family: Transfer RNA (tRNA) molecules are approximately 80 nucleotides in length. Their secondary structure includes four short double-helical elements and three loops (D, anti-codon, and T loops). The record is from Rfam by way of RNAcentral. Lineage: Eukaryota; Metazoa; Chordata; Mammalia; Carnivora; Felidae.
GCCUGGGUGGCUCAGUCGGUUAAGCGGCCGACUUCGGCUCAGGUCAUGAUCUCGCAGUUCGUGGGUUCAAGCCCCACGUCAGGCU